RNAcentral lists this long non-coding RNA (2110 nucleotides) under Coffea arabica (coffee). RNAcentral's name for it is "long non-coding RNA (CARA_LNC006325)". Lineage: Eukaryota; Viridiplantae; Streptophyta; Magnoliopsida; Gentianales; Rubiaceae. The record is from RNAcentral.
CGAGCAAUUCAAUAAGAAUUAUUUUCCGGAAGUUCAAGUGUCCACGGUGAGAUCCUCUUGAAGGUCUCCUUGCGCGCCUGGCAAUUUAAUAGUGGAUAAUCACACAAUUAACCCACUUAUCAAGAAAGAUUGUACACUAGUACAAUCUAAGAAUUAUUUUGCAAAAAGGAACCUCAAUUACACGUAAAUCGAGGUUCGACUUGCCUUUUUAUUAGGUACAAUAUUAUUUGAGUUUUUUUUAUCAUGAAAAUCGUAAGCAAAACGUUUUAAGAAUAUCGAAAGAAUAAAGAGUUCUUGAAAAACUCUAUUUCUUUGAAGUUGGAAAAUUUUUCAGUUUUACGUUAAAUCUUUGAAAAAUCAUAACUCGCUCGGUAUAAGUCGAGAAUUGGAAAAAUUUAUACCGUUGGAAACCUCUUAGAGAGUACUAUAAGUUCCUAGAAGACACUUUUCCAUGAAUCGAAGUGAAAAGUGGUCAAAAAUGAGCUUGAAGACGCAGGGUUGGUUUUCAUGGCAGAAUUAAGUUGGAUUUCGGCCAACUUUGGAAAUUCGGCACGAUUCACACGUUGCAAACCGGCCUCUGAAAUUUUCAGCUCAAUUAGUGUUGCAAGUUAAGUGUAUGACAAAACAAGCGGAUCAAGAAUCGGAGUUUCGAGCACCGAGAUACGGUAGCCCGAAGUUGAGCAAAUUCAAGACUGGAUGAGAAUUUUCCAGAUUUGAACCUCUAACUUUAGUAAUUCAAUUGGGUAUCGAAACGAACUUGAAUUGGCACAAAAAUUGGCAGUAUUUCAAUACUAUAUGGAAAGUAUCUCUCUAUCGAAUUUCGGGGAAAAAUACCUUCGGCAAGGUAGUUAAUUAGCCCACCAAAGUUCAAGAAAAAUCCUAAGGCAAUCUGCCUUUGACUUGCAUUUCCCAAUUUCCAAUCGUCUAACCAAGAAAGUUAUCCAACCAUGGUUCAUUUGUGAAAUAAGGGUCUAAGAUACAUCCAUGAUAUCUUUGGUAAGUGUUUAAUAUCAAGAACAUCAACUAACAAGUUCACUCCAAGAUUUUGUUCCAAACCAGUCCAAAGAUUAGGGUUUUCCAAAACAGAGCAGUCCACUUGCUUCAGUCACAACUCAGUCAUUAUAGCUCGAAUCGAGCAUGGCUUACGCCGUUGGAAAAUGCGUUCAUAGAGUUAAAAUAUCACAGAAGAAAUCGUUUCCAAAUUCGGCACCCAUCUGGUUCAAAUUCUGGCAUCAAGUUGCUGCCUGAACACUUCAUUCCAGAAGAACAGAGUAACAGGACAGCGAACUUAAAACAUUUGGUUCGGCUUGCUCACAAAGAAUCAGAACGUGCAUUAUAUACCAAAUUAAAGCUAGGAAUGUCUAGUUUCAAACGCCACCGACGGCACAUGAUUUUGACAUCCAAGGACAGAGUUAUAGCCAAAAUACUACUGCUGGUCAGAGCAUACGCGAAUCAGUUUUCCAGAUUUGCUGGUUUCUAAAAAAAAUUCAUUUGCCCAUUCAAACCUCAUUAUUUUUCAAUGAAAUUUUUCACACAUCUAAUACAUCCUACAAACAUCCAAUUCAAGCCAUUAAACCAUUAAAAAUUGGCCUGGAAAUGGCCGAACAUGGCAGGGGCAAAAUCGGAAAUUUUAGCUUCUUACACCCAAUGAAGUUCCUACCAAUUACCCACCACUAAUGCAUCAUUAAUAUCACUAAACCAACAAUAUAAUCACCAUCAAUCAUCACAUCAGCAACAACAACCCAAGUGUGGGAAUUCCAAGAGCCCACAAUCACAUUUUUACACCAUAAUCAAGUAACUAAGUGCAUGCAUGAGCUUAAUCUUGUCAUAUAAUCUCCAAAAGAUAAGAAUCCAAGGGUUGAUCAUUACCUACUCCUUUGGUUUGCAAGGUCAGAAUUUUCGGCCCUCUUGAAGCUCCAAGAAACCGUGAAAGCUCCCCUCCUCCUUAGCUAGAUAUAAUCUCCAAGAGGUUUGCUAAGUGGUCUCCAAGUUUGGUGUGAUUUGGAGGUGAUUUGGGGUGGUUUUGGGGAAGAUUAGUGUGCAGAAUUUUUUUGAACAAGGAGUUAGAGAGAGAGGGUGUCUUGGCCGGCCAUGAGGAGAGAGAAGAGAG